GGUGGCUCAGUGGUAGAGUGCUUGCCUUGCAUGCAUGCAUGAGGUCCUGGGUUCAAUUCCUCAGCACCA
RNAcentral lists this transfer RNA (69 nucleotides) under Dipodomys ordii (Ord's kangaroo rat). It matches the Rfam family "tRNA". Rfam says of the family: Transfer RNA (tRNA) molecules are approximately 80 nucleotides in length. Their secondary structure includes four short double-helical elements and three loops (D, anti-codon, and T loops). Lineage: Eukaryota; Metazoa; Chordata; Mammalia; Rodentia; Heteromyidae. The record is from Rfam by way of RNAcentral.